This 512-nucleotide ribosomal RNA is filed under the name uncultured eubacterium WR868. RNAcentral's name for it is "bacterial SSU rRNA". It matches the Rfam family "Bacterial small subunit ribosomal RNA", at positions 9 to 527 of the family's 1533-position model. The record is from RNAcentral.
GAGUUUGAUCAUGGCUCAGAUUGAACGCUGGCGGCAUGCCUAACACAUGCAAGUCGAACGAGGGUAGCAAUACCUUAGUGGCGGACGGGUGAGGAAUACGUAGGAAUUUGCCCUUAAGUGGGGGAUAGCCCGGGGAAACCCGGAUUAAUACCGCAUGAUCUCGAAAGAGCAAAGUGGGGGAUCGCAAGACCUCACGCUUUUGGAGAAGCCUACGUCGGAUUAGCUAGUUGGUGAGGUAAUGGCUCACCAAGGCGACGAUCCGUAACUGGUCUGAGAGGAUGAUCAGUCACACCGGAACUGAGACACGGUCCGGACUCCUACGGGAGGCAGCAGUGGGGAAUAUUGGACAAUGGGCGAAAGCCUGAUCCAGCAAUGCCGCGUGUGUGAAGAAGGCCUUCGGGUUGUAAAGCACUUUAAGUUGGGAAGAAAAAACUCGCUCUAACACAGUGAGUCUUGACGGUACCGACAGAAUAAGCACCGGCUAACUCUGUGCCAGCAGCCGCGGUAAUACG